GAUACCUGCGCACCAGGGAAAUCCGGUGCGCGCAGGGGGAAGGCGCGAAGCAUACGGAAAGCUGCGGCAAGUACGGAAAAGCUGAGAGCAGGCUUCCAGGAAAAGCUUCUAGCACAACACGCAUCGGCCCGUACCGAAAAUGGACACACAUGGGCAAGGAGAGAAUCCUGAGGUGAGCGAGAGAACUAUAGCUAAGGAACUCUGCAAAAUGACCCCGUAACUUAGGGAGAAGGGGUGCUCCAGAAAUGGAGCCGCAGUAAAACGGCCCAAGCGACUGUUUACCAAAAACACAGCUCUCUGCGAAGGCGCAAGCCGAAGUAUAGGGGGUGACGCCUGCCCGGUGCUGGAAGGUCAAGGGGAGCUGUCAGCGCAAGCGAAGCAGCGAGCCGAAGCCCCAGUAAACGGCGGCCGUAACGAUAACGGUCCUAAGGUAGCGAAAUUCCUUGUCGGGCAAGUUCCGACCCGCACGAAAGGCGUAACGAUUUGGGCGCUGUCUCAGCUGUAGACUCGGUGAAGUCUUAGUACCUGUGAAGAUGCAGGUUGCCCGCGACUAGACGGAAAGACCCCAUGGAGCUUCACUGCAGGUUGACAUUGGGCUUGGAUGCAUGAUGUACAGGAUAGGUGGGAGGCUGUGAGCCGUGCGCGCCAGCGUACGGGGAGCCGCUGUUGGGAUACCACCCUUCAUGCAUCUAGGUCCUAACCGGAGGCAACGGGCCACGGGACAGUGUCAGUCGGGCAGUUUGACUGGGGCGGUCGCCUCCCAAAGAGUAACGGAGGCGCCCAAAGAUACCCUCAGCAUGGAUGGAAACCAUGCAUAGAGUGCAAAGGCAUAAGGGUGUCUGACUGCGAGACAUACAGGUCGAGCAGGGACGAAAGUCGGGCUUAGUGAUCCGGCGGAUCCGAAUGGAAGGGCCGUCGCUCAACGGAUAAAAGCUACCCUGGGGAUAACAGGCUGAUCUCCCCCAAGAGUUCACAUCGACGGGGAGGUUUGGCACCUCGAUGUCGGCUCAUCGCAUCCUGGAGCUGAAGUCGGUUCCAAGGGUUGGGCUGUUCGCCCAUUAAAGCGGUACGCGAGCUGGGUUCAGAACGUCGUGAGACAGUUCGGUCCCUAUCUGUCGUGGGCGCAGGAGGUUUGAGGAGAGCUGCCCCUAGUACGAGAGGACCGGGGUGGACGGACCGAUGGUGCACCAGUUGUCACGCCAGUGGCACAGCUGGGCAGCCAAGUCCGGACGGGAUAAGCGCUGAAGGCAUCUAAGCGUGAAGCCCCCUCCAAGAUGAGACCUCCCAUUGGCGACAAGUAAGGCCCCUCGAAGACGACGAGGUUGAUAGGCCGCGAGUGCAAGCGCAGCAAUGUGCUUAGCGGGGCGGUACUAAUAGGCCGAGGACUUGGCC
Molecule: ribosomal RNA, 1392 nt
Filed under: metagenome
Description: bacterial LSU rRNA
Rfam family: Bacterial large subunit ribosomal RNA
Source: RNAcentral